RNAcentral lists this long non-coding RNA (857 nucleotides) under Malus domestica (apple). Its description in RNAcentral is "long non-coding RNA (MDOM_LNC002493)". The record is from RNAcentral. Lineage: Eukaryota; Viridiplantae; Streptophyta; Magnoliopsida; Rosales; Rosaceae.
CAUAUAAAAGAUUGUUGUUGUAUCGUUGAAACAAAUUAGUCUUACGAAAACGUAUCAAAAUGUAUAUUCUAGAAUCCUAACGGUAUGACGUGCAUGUUAGUUGUUUUACUCCCUUAUUACUCGAUCAUCACCAUAAGUCAUACCUUAUUUUGUUGGUUAAACAAAUCAAUCACUCAAAAACAUUUGAAGAGAAUAGUUGGACAUGUGUUAGUUAGGUGUGCUGUACUCACCAAUUCGGUCAAAGAUAAGAAAAGUAUUAAGCAUAAUUGGCUGUGGAAUGAACUUUCCUUUUCCAAAAAGGUUAGCUUCACGAGUACGGAUGGCACUCCUUGUUCUUUUCAUUCAAAGUCCGUACGAUUUGUUGAUUUGUUGAUUUGUUGAUUUUUGAAUUAGUUUUAGACCUUCUUUAGAUUUUUCAUGUGUCAUCUUCAUUGUUCCUUUUUAAUUAGUUUUACAUCAAACAUAUAUGUUUUUCUUUUCUAUUCAAGCACUGUGGAUAGAUGAGAAAACCGAGCACAUUGGUUCGUACAAGGAUAACUAUUUUUAAAUACUUGAACUGUAAACUUAGCGUGUAAUGUAUUCAUCUACUAGAAACAAUAUCUAGAAACUCCACACUCUAGGGCGGAGCCAAAGCUAGGGUGAGCUCCAAGUUAAUUAAGAUUUUAGUGCUAGUUCUUAAGAAGUUAAUUCCAUCAAACUAAAAAUUGGCCCAUCCUGCCUUAACAACUCUUGAGACAAAGAAAGUUGCUAAAUCACGCAUAAUAGACAGAAAAAAGAAAAAUUAUAAUCAACGUCAUAAAAAUUUCUAACUCUGCUCUUUAGACUAUUCUUUUGAUGAUUUGCUUUAUUAAAUGUGG